RNAcentral lists this ribosomal RNA (505 nucleotides) under uncultured bacterium. Its description in RNAcentral is "bacterial SSU rRNA". It matches the Rfam family "Bacterial small subunit ribosomal RNA", at positions 8 to 526 of the family's 1533-position model. The record is from RNAcentral.
AGAGUUUGAUCCUGGCUCAGAAUGAACGUUGGCGGCGUGGAUUAGGCAUGCAAGUCGUGCGCGAACUGUAGCAAUACAGGGAGAGCGGCGAAAGGGAGAGUAUAACGUAGGUAUCUACCCUCGGGUCUGGGAUAGCGGCGGGAAACUGCCGGUAAUACCAGAUGAUGUCCCCGGACCAAAGGUGUGAUUCCGCUCGAGGAGGAGCCUACGCCCUAUUAGCUAGUUGGCAGGGUAACGGCCUACCAAGGCAAAGAUGGGUAUGGGGUGUGAGAGCAUGCCCCCACUCACUGGGACUGAGACACUGCCCAGACACCUACGGGUGGCUGCAGUCAAGAAUCUUCGGCAAUGGGCGCAAGCCUGACCGAGCGACGCCGCGUGCGGGAUGAAGGCUUUCGGGUUGUAAACCGCUGUCGUAGAGGAGGAAAUGCUAGUGGGUUCUCCCAUUAGCUUGACUGAUUCUAGGAGGAAGGACGGGCUAAGUUCGUGCCAGCCGCCGCGGUAAUAC